This 606-nucleotide long non-coding RNA is filed under the name Homo sapiens (human). RNAcentral's name for it is "HSALNT0347949". The record is from RNAcentral. Lineage: Eukaryota; Metazoa; Chordata; Mammalia; Primates; Hominidae.
GAUUGCUUAGAAACUAGCGGUUAAAGAUGGAGUCUAGGGAACAGUCGAGAGUCACGCAAAUGUUAGAGGUGCCCUUGGCCUCAUGAGUGGUCGGUAGAAGGCGGCUGCAAGGAGCCUUUGAAAUGGUGCCGAGUUCUUCCUCUGCCAGAAAGCCUUUCCUCCGCGCUGACUGUGUCAAAGGCUACUCCCAGAGCACUCCAAUCAUUGUUCAAUGGAAGACUUAAAAGAAGCCCUGUGACUCGGGCUCAAAUCUGAAUAAGAUAGUUUCGAAGGAGAAGGAAGAGAAGUUAGAUAAAGAUGAGAAUUCAGAGGCGGAGAAGUAAGAUGAUCAACAGUUGCCUGCCUUGGACUUUGGAGUUCCCAAGAACUAGAAAAUCCAGGUCAGGAACUGUAUCUUUGCUCAGCCACCUGCAAACAGACUUGAGAACAAUGUAAACCACCCUCUGCAGGAUAUUGAUUCUGAUGGAGUAAAUGUUGAUUAAGCAGAAUGGUGUUUUUUUUUUUAACUGGAGGAAUUCCAGAUCUUUCCUUAGGCCUGUCUCUCCAGGGAAAUGAGCUCUAGCCUUAAAAAUCUACAGAAAACCUGAGUAAGAAUGAAGAUUUAUG